RNAcentral lists this ribosomal RNA (253 nucleotides) under uncultured bacterium. RNAcentral describes it as "partial 16S ribosomal RNA". It matches the Rfam family "Bacterial small subunit ribosomal RNA", at positions 524 to 776 of the family's 1533-position model. The record is from RNAcentral.
UACGUAGGGGGCAAGCGUUGUCCGGAUUUAUUGGGCGGAAAGAGCGUGUAGGCGGCCUGGCAGGGCAGUUGUGAAAACUCGAGGCUCAACCUCGAGACGCCGAUGGAAACAACCUGGCUAGAGUCCGGAAGAGGAGAGUGGAAUUCCUGGUGUAGCGGUGAAAUGCGCAGAUAUCAGGAAGAACACCCGUGGCUAAGGCGGCUCUCUAGUACGGUACUGACGCUGAGGCACGGAGGCGUGGGGAGCGAACGGG